This 88-nucleotide transfer RNA is filed under the name Hydrogenophilus thermoluteolus. It matches the Rfam family "tRNA". Rfam says of the family: Transfer RNA (tRNA) molecules are approximately 80 nucleotides in length. Their secondary structure includes four short double-helical elements and three loops (D, anti-codon, and T loops). The record is from Rfam by way of RNAcentral. Lineage: Bacteria; Pseudomonadati; Pseudomonadota; Hydrogenophilia; Hydrogenophilales; Hydrogenophilaceae.
GGAGAGGUGGGUGAGUGGUUUAAACCGCACGCCUGGAGAGCGUGUUCAGGGUGAUACCCUGACGCGGGUUCGAAUCCCGCCCUCUCCG